GCAGAUUUUAAUUUGAUGAUGCACAGAAAUGUAAUUAGCAUCAUGCAAAUAUUUUCGUCAGGACCAGAAGCUGCCUCCAACAUUUAGCACAAAGAACCAAACAUGAGAGUCAUCACGUUUAGAAGGCUGAAUAGAGGCAAAUCCCUGCACCAGUGAGAGAUUUUGAAUAAACAGUAAUUAUAUAGCAAAAACCUAAGUAACAGCUGCAGGAGUAUGGAAACAAACAUCCCAGAGGUCAACUCUUUCCUAAUAAAAAUUCAUUGAAGAAGGCAUCAGGAUGACCUCUGAGUCAGUCGUCUUUGUACCAUCUCAACAUGUCCCACUUCUGUAGGCCCUUGGGGAGCAAACCAGAAUCUUCUUUCCAGAUCUAAGAGCCAGCCUGGGAGCUUUGUCCGGCAUGUGCAUGCAUGAAUCUGCUCAUGCAGCAUCCUUGCUUUUGUACAAUUCUGGAGAAAAUGCUUCUUCACCUGAUGAACCAAGAUUCUAACAGGAAGAGUUGGUUAAAGUUGGAGUGAGAUCAAGUAGCAAAACACAUACAUUUGUCAAGUGUGGGGCUAACACUCUUUCUUCUGAGAUUGUGAAUGUGCCUUCACUGGAACUUUAUCUUUGGAAAUCCCACAGAGAGGAU
Nycticebus coucang (slow loris) is the source of this 628-nucleotide long non-coding RNA. RefSeq lists it as uncharacterized. NCBI's taxonomy places the organism in Eukaryota, Metazoa, Chordata, Mammalia, Primates, Lorisidae. The transcript has 5 exons. The record is from RefSeq and is a predicted model, not a curated record.